UACGGGGGGGGCAAGCGUUGUUCGGAAUUACUGGGCGUAAAGGGUUCGUAGGUGGCCCGCUAAGUCAGACGUGAAAUCCCUCAGCUUAACUGGGGAACUGCGUCUGAGACUGGCAGGCUCGAGUGCAGGAGAGGAACGCGGAAUUCCAGGUGUAGCGGUGAAAUGCGUAGAUAUCGGGAGGAACACCAGUGGCGAAGGCGGCGAUCUGGGAAGAUACUGACGCUGAGGUGCGAAAGCGUGGGGAGCAAACAGG
This 253-nucleotide ribosomal RNA is filed under the name uncultured bacterium. RNAcentral's name for it is "partial 16S ribosomal RNA". It matches the Rfam family "Bacterial small subunit ribosomal RNA", at positions 524 to 776 of the family's 1533-position model. The record is from RNAcentral.